RNAcentral lists this ribosomal RNA (387 nucleotides) under Dinophyceae sp. RNAcentral's name for it is "partial small subunit ribosomal RNA". It matches the Rfam family "Eukaryotic small subunit ribosomal RNA", at positions 582 to 975 of the family's 1831-position model. Lineage: Eukaryota; Dinophyceae. The record is from RNAcentral.
AUUCCAGCUCCAAUAGCGUAUAUUAAAGUUGUUGCGGUUAAAAAGCUCGUAGUUGGAUUUCUGCCGAGGACGCGUGGAAUGCCCUUUGGGUGAGCAUCUGGCUCGGCCUGGGCAUCCUCUUGGAGAACGUAGCUGCACCUGACUGUGUGGGGCUGUAUCCAGAACUUUUACCUUGAGGAAAUUAGAUUGUUUCAAGCAGGCAUAUGCCUUGAAUACAUUAGCAUGGAAUAGUGAGAUAGGACCUCGUUUUUUUUUUUGGUUUCUAGAGCUGAGGCAAUGAUUAAUAGGGAUAGUUGGGGGCAUUCGUGCUUAACUGUCAGAGGUGAAAUUCCUGGAUUUGUCAAAGACGAACCACUGCGAAAGCAUUUGCCAGGGAUGUUUUCAUUG